Acyrthosiphon pisum (pea aphid) is the source of this 59-nucleotide non-coding RNA. Lineage: Eukaryota; Metazoa; Arthropoda; Insecta; Hemiptera; Aphididae. The record is from Rfam.
CCGUGUUCUGUGACUGACUGGGCUGGCGGGUGUCCGCCGGUCUGCCACAGAACACGGGA